ACUCCGUACGGGAGGCAGCAGGUGGGGAAUAUUGCACAAUGGGCGCAAGCCUGAUGCAGCCAUGCCGCGUGUAUGAAGAAGGCCUUCGGGGUUGUAAAGUACUUUCAGCAGUGAGGAAGGUGGGUAUGUUAAUAGCAUACUCAAUUUGACGUUAGCUGCAGAAGAAGCACCGGCUAACUCCGUGCCAGCAGGCCGCGGUAAUACGGAGGGUGCGAGCGUUAAUCGGAAUUACUGGGCGUAAAGCGCAUGCAGGUGG
Molecule: ribosomal RNA, 256 nt
Filed under: uncultured bacterium
Lineage: Bacteria
Description: partial 16S ribosomal RNA
Rfam family: Bacterial small subunit ribosomal RNA
Source: RNAcentral